CUGCCUCAGGACGGGGACAACAGUUGGAAACGACUGCUAAUAGCGCGAUAUAGCUGAGAGGUGAAUUGAUAUUUCGCCUGAGGAUGAACUCGCGUCUGAUUAGCUAGUUGGUGAUGUAAGGGAUCACCAAGGCGACGAUCAGUAUCUGGUCUAAGAGGAUGAUCAGCCACACUGGGACUGAGACACGGCGCAUACUCCUACGGGAGGCAGCAGUGGGGAAUUUUCCGCAAUGGGCGAAAGGCUGACGGAGCAACGGCGCGUGAGGGAGGAAGGCCCUCGGGUUGUAAACCUCUUUUCUCUGGGAAGAAGAUCUUAACGGUACCAUAAGAUAUAAGCCUCGGCUAACUCCGUGCCAGCAGCCGCGGUAAGACGGAGGAGGCAAGCGUUAUCCGGAAUNAUUUGGCGUAAAGCGUCCGCAGGCG
This 422-nucleotide ribosomal RNA is filed under the name uncultured cyanobacterium. Its description in RNAcentral is "bacterial SSU rRNA". It matches the Rfam family "Bacterial small subunit ribosomal RNA", at positions 127 to 577 of the family's 1533-position model. Lineage: Bacteria; Bacillati; Cyanobacteriota. The record is from RNAcentral.